This 1482-nucleotide ribosomal RNA is filed under the name uncultured Bordetella sp. RNAcentral's name for it is "partial 16S-23S ribosomal RNA intergenic spacer". It matches the Rfam family "Bacterial small subunit ribosomal RNA". The record is from RNAcentral. Lineage: Bacteria; Pseudomonadati; Pseudomonadota; Betaproteobacteria; Burkholderiales; Alcaligenaceae.
GUUCGAUUAUGGUCAGAUUGAACGCUGGCGGGAUGCUUUACAUGUAAAAGCCGAACGCAGCACGGACUUCGGUCUGGUGGCGAGUGGCGAACGGGUGAGUGAAUGUAUCGGAACGUGCCUAGUAGCGGGGGAUAAUCAUGUGCCGAAAGUAGUAGCUAAUACGCAUACCCCUUCGGGGGAAAGCGGGGACCUUCGCCCCGCACUAUUAGAGCGGCCGAUAUCGGAUUAGCUAGUUGGUGGGGUAACGGCUCACCAAGGCGAUUGAUCCGUAGCUGGUUUGAGAGGACGACCAGCCACAUCUGGACUGGAGACACGGCCUGACUCUACGGGAGGCAGCAGUGGGGAAUUUUGGGAUAAUGGGGGAAAACCCGAUCCAGCCAUCCCGGGCGUGUGCGAUGAAGGCCUUCGGGUUGUAAAGCACUUUGGCAGGAAGAAACGGCACGGGAUAAUGACCCUGUGCAACUGACGGUACCUGCAGAAUAAGCACCGGCUAACUACAAGCCAGCAAGCCGCGGUAAUACGUAGGGUGCAAGUGUUAAUCGGAAUUACUGGUGUAAAGCGUGCGCAGGCGGUUCGGAAAGGAGGAUGUGAACCCAGAGCUUAACUUUGGAACUGCAUUUUUAACUACCGAGUUAGAGUGUGUCAGGAGGGAGGUGAAAUUCCCGCGUGUAGCAGUGAAAUGCGUAGAUAUGCGGGAUCAAUUUGAUGGCGAAGGCAGCCUCCUGGGAUAACACUGACGCUCAUGCACGAAAGCGUGGGGAGCAAACAGGAUUAGAUACCCUGGCAGUCCACGCCCUAAACGACAGUCAACUCAGUUGCUGGGGCCUUUCGGGCCUUUGGUAGCGCAGCUAACGCGUGAAGUUGACCGCCUGGGAGUACGGUCGCAAGAUUAAAACCGUAUGAAUUGACGGGGACCAAAAGCGGUGUGAUGAUGUGAUUAAUUCUGACGGGGCGAAAACCUUACCUACCCUUGACAUGUUCGAAUCCCGAAGAGAUUUGGGGAGUGCGCUGCAAGAGAACCGGAACAGGUGCUGCAUGGCUGUCAGCCUGAACGCGUGGAGAUGCUUGGGGUUAAGUCCCGCAAUUCAGAGCGCAACCUUGUCAUUAGUUACAUGAAAGGGCACUCUAAUGAGACUGCCGGUGACAAACCGGAGGAAGGUGGGGAUGACGUCAAGUCCUCGCGGCCCGCAGGGUAGGGCUUCACACGUCAUACAAUGGUCGGGACAGAGGGUCGCCAACCCGCGAGGGGAGCCAAUCCCAGAAACCCGAUCGUAGUCCGGAUCGCAGUCUGCAACUCGACUGGUGGUGAAGUCGGAAUCGCUAAUAGAUCAUGAUCAGCAUGUCGCGGUGAAUACGUUCUCGGUCUUGUACACACUGCCCGUCACACCAUGGGAGUGGGUUUUACCAGAAGUAGUUAGCCUAACCGCAAGGAGGGCGAUUACCACGGUAGGAUUCACGACUGGAAGAAGUCGCAACACAAAA